UUUCGGGUAGCAUUUGACAAGCAAGUACCCAACCCCGUCAGGUCCGAAAGGAAGCAGCGGUCAGUAUUUUGUUUGGGUAAGUGCUUACCCGAUUUUU
Molecule: signal recognition particle RNA, 97 nt
Filed under: Ignavibacteriaceae bacterium
Lineage: Bacteria; Pseudomonadati; Ignavibacteriota; Ignavibacteria; Ignavibacteriales; Ignavibacteriaceae
Description: signal recognition particle sRNA small type
Rfam family: Bacterial small signal recognition particle RNA
About the family: The signal recognition particle (SRP) is a universally conserved ribonucleoprotein involved in the co-translational targeting of proteins to membranes. Archaeal SRP consists of a 7S RNA and homologues of the eukaryotic SRP19 and SRP54 proteins. In most bacteria, the SRP consists of a 4.5S RNA and the Ffh protein (a homologue of the eukaryotic SRP54 protein).
Source: RNAcentral